Long non-coding RNA from Thalassophryne amazonica, 186 nucleotides. RefSeq lists it as uncharacterized. NCBI's taxonomy places the organism in Eukaryota, Metazoa, Chordata, Actinopteri, Batrachoidiformes, Batrachoididae. The transcript is spliced from 3 exons. The record is from RefSeq and is a predicted model, not a curated record.
CUCGAGGUCUGACUUGGUGAUGAGGACGUCUUCAUUGUAGACAAUCUGCUUGUUGCUCUUCAGUCCGUGACCUUCCUUAUUAAUGAUUUUCCAAAUCAUCAGGCAGCUGUCUUCAGACACUGUCACCAGGAACUGUUCAUCACAUGUGAUGACCAUCUGAUGACACACAAAGCAAUCAGAAUCAGG